UACGUAGGGGGCUAGCGUUGUCCGGAAUCAUUGGGCGUAAAGAGCGUGUAGGCGGUCCGGUAAGUCCGCUGUGAAAGUCGGGGGCUCAACCCUCGAAUGCCGGUGGAUACUGUCGGGCUAGAGUGCGGAAGAGGCGAGUGGAAUUCCUGGUGUAGCGGUGAAAUGCGCAGAUAUCAGGAGGAACACCAAUUGCGAAGGCAGCUCACUGGGACGUAACUGACGCUGAGACGCGAAAGCGUGGGGAGCAAACAGG
RNAcentral lists this ribosomal RNA (253 nucleotides) under uncultured bacterium. RNAcentral describes it as "partial 16S ribosomal RNA". It matches the Rfam family "Bacterial small subunit ribosomal RNA", at positions 524 to 776 of the family's 1533-position model. The record is from RNAcentral.